Long non-coding RNA from Planococcus citri (citrus mealybug), 483 nucleotides. RefSeq lists it as uncharacterized. The record is from RefSeq and is a predicted model, not a curated record. Lineage: Eukaryota; Metazoa; Arthropoda; Insecta; Hemiptera; Pseudococcidae. The transcript has 2 exons.
CUCUAUUUGAUUGACGACUGUUCUACUAGAGUUUGGUGUAUGGUUUGGUUCAUGUCUUUACACUCGAGUGUUUUCCGUAUUAUUCUAUAAUUCAUUAAAAUGCUUACUGUUCGUGUUUUACUUUUCCUUUGCAUAUCUUUAAUACUGAUCAUAAUACAAACCUCAAAUGGGCGAAUAGUGUACUCGAGGAUACCCCAAUACGAUCCGUACAGUAACUCAAAUGCCAAUUACGCCCGUCGAGGAGGAGGUGAAGGAGGUGCAAUAGCAGCAGCAAGCAGCGGAAGCGGAGGAACGGCGAGAUACAGCCAUGGACAUGGACAUGCAACUUCAUAUCAAAAUUUCGUACUUCAUAGUUACCAUCCUGUGAAAGUUUACCUGAAAAAACACCAUCAUCAUCAUGAUUAUAACUAAGUUUUGUACUUACGGAUUUCAUUAAUUUAUUUAAAUCUAAUUUUAACGUAAUAUAAAUUUAGUCGCAUCAUU